CAUGGACAGCCUGGAUCUGCUGGGUGAAGGGAGAAGUUAUGUCCAGGGUGGGACAGAGAGGAUGGCGAGAGAUUUCCUCACUGCUCAGAACAGUGGGAAAUUCAAAACUUAGGGAUUAUUUCUGAAAUUUUCCAUUUAAAAAUUUCCAUUUAUAAUUGACCAAGGGUAACUGAAACCAGAGAAAGCAAGACUGAGGAUAAGGGAGGGGCCUCCUGUACUCCAAGAGCACUGAAUCCGGAAAAACUCAACACAUUGAUGGAGUCAUAUAUUUAAUUUUUUCUUAAAAGCCACCUGCGGGAUAUUGUAGAAACACUGCGCUGCCAAUCACAGCUUGUGAUGUGACACAUUCAUUCUGCAAGUUUAAACUUCCCCUAGAUUGGUUCUUGGGGAAAAGCUGUGUUUCAGAGACAAGAUUGAAGAACUUCACCUGCAUAUGAUGGAGGAUGAGAAUGGGAACCACAGGUGUCAUUGGUGGUUUUGUUUUACAAAGUCUUCACAUUUCUGCUGAGUCACGGGACUAAGUUCAACACAAUUUCUACUUUCCGCCUUCCUUUGGAAUAAUAGUUUUGGAAGCCAAGUAUUAGUAUAUGAUAUCAGCCUGGAGUCGGGGACUCUGAAACCUAAUCUGAAGUGUGUUUAACAAGGGUUCUGAACGCUGGGACUUAGUGCCGAGGGGAACAAGGAGACAGUGUGUCCUCAGGGGCAGCGUGGCCGCCCCUAGAGCCACAGCAAGCAAGAAGAAUCGCAGCAUUUGUGGGCAGCACCGA
RNAcentral lists this small RNA (767 nucleotides) under Pongo abelii (Sumatran orangutan). RNAcentral describes it as "processed transcript". Lineage: Eukaryota; Metazoa; Chordata; Mammalia; Primates; Hominidae. The record is from RNAcentral.